AUUGAACGCUGGCGGCAUGCCUUACACAUGCAAGUCGAACGGUAACGGGCCUUCGGGUGCCGACGAGUGGCGAACGGGUGAGUAAUACAUCGGAACGUGCCCGAUCGUGGGGGAUAACGAGGCGAAAGCUUUGCUAAUACCGCAUACGAUCUACGGAUGAAAGCAGGGGACCGCAAGGCCUUGCGCGGACGGAGCGGCCGAUGGCAGAUUAGGUAGUUGGUGGGAUAAAAGCUUACCAAGCCGCCGAUCUGUAGCUGGUCUGAGAGGAUGAUCAGCCACACUGGGACUGAGACACGGCCCAGACUCCUACGGGAGGCAGCAGUGGGGAAUUUUGGACAAUGGGCGCAAGCCUGAUCCAGCCAUGCCGCGUGCAGGAUGAAGGCCUUCGGGUUGUAAACUGCUUUUGUACGGAACGAAAAGCCUUCUUUUAAUACAGGAGGGUCAUGACGGUACCGUAAGAAUAAGCACCGGCUAACUACGUG
RNAcentral lists this ribosomal RNA (482 nucleotides) under uncultured bacterium. Its description in RNAcentral is "partial 16S ribosomal RNA". It matches the Rfam family "Bacterial small subunit ribosomal RNA", at positions 30 to 507 of the family's 1533-position model. The record is from RNAcentral.